Molecule: ribosomal RNA, 477 nt
Filed under: Parvimonas micra
Lineage: Bacteria; Bacillati; Bacillota; Tissierellia; Tissierellales; Peptoniphilaceae
Description: bacterial SSU rRNA
Rfam family: Bacterial small subunit ribosomal RNA
Source: RNAcentral
GAGUUUGAUUAUGGCUCAGGACGAACGCUGGCGGCGUGCUUAACACAUGCAAGUCGAACGUGAUUUUUGUGGAAGUUCUUUCGGGGACGGAAAUGAAAUGAAAGUGGCGAACGGGUGAGUAACACGUGAGCAACCUACCUUACACAGGGGGAUAGCCGUUGGAAACGACGAUUAAUACCGCAUGAGACCACAAAGCCACAUGGCUUAGGGGUAAAAGAUUUAUCGGUGUAAGAUGGGCUCGCGUCUGAUUAGCUAGUUGGAAGGGUAAAGGCCUACCAAGGCAACGAUCAGUAGCCGGUCUGAGAGGAUGAACGGCCACAUUGGAACUGAGACACGGUCCAAACUCCUACGGGAGGCAGCAGUGGGGAAUAUUGCACAAUGGGGGGAACCCUGAUGCAGCGACGCCGCGUGAGCGAAGAAGGUUUUCGAAUCGUAAAGCUCUGUUCCUAUGAGAAGAUAAUGACGUUUNUNGGAGCC